UUGGAGGGCAAGUCUGGUGCCAGCAGCCGCGGUAAUUCCAGCUCCAAUAGCGUAUAUUAAAGUUGUUGCAGUUAAAAAGCUCGUAGUUGAAUUUCGGGGUCAGUAGGUUGGUCAUGCCACAGGUAUGUACUGGUCUCACUGAUUCCCCCUUCCUGAUGAACUGUAAUGCCAUUAAUUUGGUGUUGCAGGGAAUCUGGACUGUUACUUUGAAAAAAUUAGAGUGUUUAAAGCAGGCUAACGCCUGAAUACAUUAGCAUGGAAUAAUGAAAUAGGACGUUCGAUCCUAUUUUGUUGGUUUCUAGGAUUGACGUAAUGAUUAAUAGGGAUAGUUGGGGGCAUUAGUAUUCAAUUGUCAGAGGUGAAAUUCUUGGAUUUAUUGAAGACUAACUACUGCGAAAGCAUUUGCCAAGGAUGUUUUCAUUAAUCAAGAAUGAAAGUUAGGGGAUCGAAGGCGAUCAGAUACCGUCGUAGUCUUAACCAUAAACUAUGCCGACUAGGGAUCGGAUGAUGUUAAUUUUUUAAUGACUCAUUCGGCGCCUUACGGGAAAC
Molecule: ribosomal RNA, 549 nt
Filed under: uncultured Glomeraceae
Lineage: Eukaryota; Fungi; Glomeromycota; Glomeromycetes; Glomerales; Glomeraceae
Description: SSU rRNA
Rfam family: Eukaryotic small subunit ribosomal RNA
Source: RNAcentral